GUCCCGUUGGUCUAGUGGUAUGAUUCUCGCUUAGGGUGCGAGAGGCCCCGCGUUCGAAUCGCGGAUGGGACC
Molecule: non-coding RNA, 72 nt
Organism: Phialocephala subalpina
Lineage: Eukaryota; Fungi; Ascomycota; Leotiomycetes; Helotiales; Mollisiaceae
Source: the annotation of a GenBank genome assembly